UAGAAGGUAGUAUAAGUGGUAGUACAUGAAGUUUUGGACUUUAUAGUGUAGGUUCGUGGCCUAUUCUUCUA
Molecule: transfer RNA, 71 nt
Filed under: Strophurus strophurus (Western spiny-tailed gecko)
Lineage: Eukaryota; Metazoa; Chordata; Lepidosauria; Squamata; Diplodactylidae
Description: tRNA-Gln
Rfam family: tRNA
About the family: Transfer RNA (tRNA) molecules are approximately 80 nucleotides in length.
Source: RNAcentral